AAACGUAGGAGGCGAGCGUUAUCCGGAUUUACUGGGUGUAAAGCGCGUGCAGGCGGUUAGCUAAGUUGGGUGUGAAAGCUCCCGGCUCAACUUGGAGAGGUCGCUCAAGACUGGCUGGCUCGAGGAUGGUAGGGGAAGGUGGAAUUCCGGGUGUAGUGGUGAAAUGCGUAGAUAUCCGGAGGAACACCAGUGGCGAAGGCGGCCUUCUGGACCAUCACUGACGCUCAGACGCGAAAGCUAGGGUAGCAAACGGGAUUAGAGACCCCGGUAGUCCUAGCCGUAAACGAUGUGAACUUGGCGCUGGUCGGGUAAAACUGAUCCGUGCCGCAGCAAACGCGAUAAGUUCACCACCUGGGGACUACGGCCGCAAGGUUAAA
Molecule: ribosomal RNA, 377 nt
Filed under: uncultured bacterium
Lineage: Bacteria
Description: bacterial SSU rRNA
Rfam family: Bacterial small subunit ribosomal RNA
Source: RNAcentral